CCCAUGCACAUGAUGCUGCCGGGAGGUAGCUCAUGUGGAACCAGCUGCUGCACAGUGACAGUCUGUGUGGCAGAUGAAUUGCUGAAGAUGCUGUGCUGCCUGUCAGACAGGAAGAUGGAAGAAUGAAGGACCUGGUUUGAAUGACUGAAGUGUCGGAGAUCUGACCGUGAAGAUCGCUCAUUUCCUACAAGAGAAGCAAUGAAUUAGAAAAUGGGAAGCAGAGAUAACAUGGAUCAUCAUCAGGAAAUUGCAACAAGCACAGCAUACACAGCAGGUUACAUCUGUUCAUAUGCACCAAUAUCAAGUGAUCAAUGCCUAGCAGGUCUCCUAAAUACCCCCAGCACCUUCAGGACAGGCAGCAUGUUCAAUUAACUAAUUAAAUUCAUG
Molecule: long non-coding RNA, 387 nt
Organism: Pseudophryne corroboree (corroboree frog)
Lineage: Eukaryota; Metazoa; Chordata; Amphibia; Anura; Myobatrachidae
Exons: 3
Source: RefSeq, a predicted model, not a curated record